Molecule: ribosomal RNA, 1370 nt
Filed under: Curtobacterium sp.
Lineage: Bacteria; Bacillati; Actinomycetota; Actinomycetes; Micrococcales; Microbacteriaceae
Description: bacterial SSU rRNA
Rfam family: Bacterial small subunit ribosomal RNA
Source: RNAcentral
AGAGUUUGAUCCUGGCUCAGGACGAACGCUGGCGGCGUGCUUAACACAUGCAAGUCGAACGAUGAUGCCCAGCUUGCUGGGUGGAUUAGUGGCGAACGGGUGAGUAACACGUGAGUAACCUGCCCCUGACUCUGGGAUAAGCGUUGGAAACGACGUCUAAUACUGGAUAUGACUGCCGGCCGCAUGGUCUGGUGGUGGAAAGAUUUUUUGGUUGGGGAUGGACUCGCGGCCUAUCAGCUUGUUGGUGAGGUAAUGGCUCACCAAGGCGACGACGGGUAGCCGGCCUGAGAGGGUGACCGGCCACACUGGGACUGAGACACGGCCCAGACUCCUACGGGAGGCAGCAGUGGGGAAUAUUGCACAAUGGGCGAAAGCCUGAUGCAGCAACGCCGCGUGAGGGAUGACGGCCUUCGGGUUGUAAACCUCUUUUAGUAGGGAAGAAGCGAAAGUGACGGUACCUGCAGAAAAAGCACCGGCUAACUACGUGCCAGCAGCCGCGGUAAUACGUAGGGUGCAAGCGUUGUCCGGAAUUAUUGGGCGUAAAGAGCUCGUAGGCGGUUUGUCGCGUCUGCUGUGAAAUCCCGAGGCUCAACCUCGGGCUUGCAGUGGGUACGGGCAGACUAGAGUGCGGUAGGGGAGAUUGGAAUUCCUGGUGUAGCGGUGGAAUGCGCAGAUAUCAGGAGGAACACCGAUGGCGAAGGCAGAUCUCUGGGCCGUAACUGACGCUGAGGAGCGAAAGCGUGGGGAGCGAACAGGAUUAGAUACCCUGGUAGUCCACGCCGUAAACGUUGGGCGCUAGAUGUAGGGACCUUUCCACGGUUUCUGUGUCGUAGCUAACGCAUUAAGCGCCCCGCCUGGGGAGUACGGCCGCAAGGCUAAAACUCAAAGGAAUUGACGGGGGCCCGCACAAGCGGCGGAGCAUGCGGAUUAAUUCGAUGCAACGCGAAGAACCUUACCAAGGCUUGACAUACACCGGAAACGGCCAGAGAUGGUCGCCCCCUUGUGGUCGGUGUACAGGUGGUGCAUGGUUGUCGUCAGCUCGUGUCGUGAGAUGUUGGGUUAAGUCCCGCAACGAGCGCAACCCUCGUUCUAUGUUGCCAGCGCGUUAUGGCGGGGACUCAUAGGAGACUGCCGGGGUCAACUCGGAGGAAGGUGGGGAUGACGUCAAAUCAUCAUGCCCCUUAUGUCUUGGGCUUCACGCAUGCUACAAUGGCCGGUACAAAGGGCUGCGAUACCGUAAGGUGGAGCGAAUCCCAAAAAGCCGGUCUCAGUUCGGAUUGAGGUCUGCAACUCGACCUCAUGAAGUCGGAGUCGCUAGUAAUCGCAGAUCAGCAACGCUGCGGUGAAUACGUUCCCGGGCCUUGUACACA